RNAcentral lists this ribosomal RNA (495 nucleotides) under uncultured bacterium. RNAcentral describes it as "bacterial SSU rRNA". It matches the Rfam family "Bacterial small subunit ribosomal RNA", at positions 28 to 494 of the family's 1533-position model. The record is from RNAcentral.
GACGAACGCUGGCGGCGUGCUUAACACAUGCAAGUCGAACGGACAGACAGAGAGCUUGCUCUCUUGAAGUUAGUGGCGAACGGGUGAGUAACGCGUAAUCAACCUGCCCUUCAGAGGGGGAUAACAACGGGAAACCGUUGCUAAUACCGCGUACGAUUCAUAGGCGGCAUCGCUUGUGAAUGAAAGGUGGCCUCUAUAUAUAAGCUAUCGCUGAAGGAGGGGAUUGCGUCUGAUUAGCUAGUUGGAGGGGUAACGGCCCACCAAGGCAAUGAUCAGUAGCCGGUCUGAGAGGAUGAACGGCCACAUUGGGACUGAGACACGGCCCAAACUCCUACGGGAGGCAGCAGUGGGGAAUCUUCCGCAAUGGACGAAAGUCUGACGGAGCAACGCCGCGUGAGUGAUGAAGGUCUUCGGAUUGUAAAGCUCUGUUAAUCGGGACGAAAGAGUUCUGUGUGAAUAAUGCAGAAAAGUGACGGUACCGGAAUAGAAAGCCAC